GAGUUUGAUCGUGGCUCAGAUUGAACGCUGGCGGCAGGCCUAACACAUGCAAGUCGAGCGGAUGACGGGAGCUUGCUCCUUGAUUCAGCGGCGGACGGGUGAGUAAUGCCUAGGAAUCUGCCUGGUAGUGGGGGACAACGUUUCGAAAGGAACGCUAAUACCGCAUACGUCCUACGGGAGAAAGCAGGGGACCUUCGGGCCUUGCGCUAUCAGAUGAGCCUAGGUCGGAUUAGCUAGUUGGUGGGGUAAUGGCUCACCAAGGCGACGAUCCGUAACUGGUCUGAGAGGAUGAUCAGUCACACUGGAACUGAGACACGGUCCAGACUCCUACGGGAGGCAGCAGUGGGGAAUAUUGGACAAUGGGCGAAAGCCUGAUCCAGCCAUGCCGCGUGUGUGAAGAAGGUCUUCGGAUUGUAAAGCACUUUAAGUUGGGAGGAAGGGCAGUAAGUUAAUACCUUGCUGUUUUGACGUUACCGACAGAAUAAGCACCGGCUAACUCUGUGCCAGCCGCCG
RNAcentral lists this ribosomal RNA (513 nucleotides) under bacterium enrichment culture clone OZDCA24. RNAcentral's name for it is "bacterial SSU rRNA". It matches the Rfam family "Bacterial small subunit ribosomal RNA", at positions 9 to 517 of the family's 1533-position model. The record is from RNAcentral. RNAcentral also lists the same sequence under 12 other names.